RNAcentral lists this long non-coding RNA (943 nucleotides) under Amborella trichopoda. RNAcentral describes it as "long non-coding RNA (ATRI_LNC004844)". The record is from RNAcentral. Lineage: Eukaryota; Viridiplantae; Streptophyta; Magnoliopsida; Amborellales; Amborellaceae.
AAAUAUGCAAUAAUAAUAGCAAGGUCAUUUCCAUAGUAGACAGUAUAUAACACACCUUGGGGUGGUUCUCUUCAUCCCUCCCUCUCCUCUCUCUCAUCAUCACUGCUCUCUCUCUCUCUCUUUCUCAUUCAUUCAUGGCUUCCAAGGCCCAAGGAAACCAUGGAGGAGCUAUGCUCCCAUUCUUGUGUGCGUUGCUGGUGUUGGCUUGUAUGGUACACAGUGCUGAUGCGAUGAUUUCCGGGGGAUGCAUUCCUCGGCCUCGUUGCCAAGUAAAUCCAACAAACACAUGCGUGAGACAAUGUCGACUUCAGCCUGCCGGGCCGGAUCGGGUAGCCUGCAUCAUGGACUGCAGGUCGAAUUCAUGUGGGUGCGGCGUUCCUCCUUAAAGCACCGUUUGAGAAUGAGGAGAGCCCAAUGCUUAAAUAAGGCCGAGGCCAUCUAGCAUUAUGUACUUCUUCUUUGGCACACGUAGUGUCUGAUGUUGUUCUCUGUAGAUGUAGGCUUAGCUAGUCUUCUUCCCCUUAAUGUAGCCUAUAAGCCAUCCACAUGUAAUUUUCUAUGUUUUUCGUUUAUAUUAAUUUUCUAUGUUUUUUGUUUAUAUUUUCAUUUUGAAUGGAAAAUGAUAAUAAUCUCCUUGUACUAAAAGUAAAUCAUCUUAUUGAAGAGAUUUAUCAAACUUUUAGCAUUUAAAAUUCAGAAACGUGAUUUGUGGCCUUUCGUCAUGCUAAAUAGGAGAGUCCUAAUUUCUAAAUGUUUUUAAGCUCAAUCACUUCCACUUAAUCUCCUAUGUCGAUUUAUCAAAUUUUGGGUGUCUAUCUUUGAAAUAGAUAUGGAGAAAAUUUUUGUUAGCUGCCAACCUAACAUAUUCGUCCUCCUUUCUCCGGGCUUGGGGUUAGCAUGAUUGGUUUGGGACUUGCGGCCAAAUAGUUGGGAUAAAGCUCAC